GUGUCUUUCACCUUAGAGGAGGACAAUCUCCUCUUGUCGGUUUGGCUCAAUAUUAGCAUGGAUGCUAUACGGGGGACGGAUAAAAAAUAUUUUCAAAUGUGGGAGAGAAUUAGCAAUUAUUACAAUGAGCAUAAAAAUACUAGCAUGGCAAAUCGUUCUGGGGGGUCAUUGACCAAUUGAUGGUCGGUGAUCCAAAAAUGUACAAAUAAAUUUUGUGCUGCUGUGGCUCAAGUAGAAUCUUUGCAUCCAAGUGGUGCAACAGAGCAGGAUAAGAGAGACUGAGAAGGCCACAUACAACAUGGAACAUUGUUGGUGUCUAUUGAGACACCAACCAAAAUGGCAGCAACACGUGUCCAUGUUAUCAACUAGAAGGAAACCACAUGGGAAACGCUCUACUAUGGCGGAGUCGACUCCAAUAGGAGACGACACGAUAAAUGACAACGUGAAGGUCAUUUUUGAGAGGCCUCCAGGCAAGAAGACUGAGAAAGAAAGGAGAGAAAAAGGAAGGCUGUAGAAUCUUACGAUGCAGAAUUUGUUGAGGCCUUAACUUGCAUGAUAAAUGAUAGAGUUGUUUUCAUGUUUGAAAGAAGACAAGCGACUAGUAAAUUGGAUGCUGAUAGGGCUCAAUUACUAGUGGAGAAAAAAAGGAGAAAUGAUACGGAGAAUAGGAAGAUCGAUAUGGAGAUAAUGAAGAUGAAUCUUGCUUGCAUGAAUGGAAUGCAACGAAAGUAUUUCUUGAAUCUUCAAAAAGAGGUUUUUGAGAAAUCAAGGAAGUGAUUUUCAUCUCCAUCUCAAUCUUCAUCUUUUGAAGAUGUGUAGCCUUUUGUUGGUGGGGAGUUUUGGGGUUGUAGCCUAUGCUGUUUUGUGAUUUUUUGUUAUUUUGGAUCACAAAUAUGGGUGUGAUGUUCAUAGUUUUAUAUGUUGGUUACCACCCUAUUCAUUACUCUUAUUUUGCAUUAGUUGGUGAUGAUGUUUGUGAGAAUUGGCUUGGUUGCAUUGAAGAUCGAUGUAAUUAUUUUGAUAA
Juglans microcarpa x Juglans regia is the source of this 1024-nucleotide long non-coding RNA. RefSeq lists it as uncharacterized. NCBI's taxonomy places the organism in Eukaryota, Viridiplantae, Streptophyta, Magnoliopsida, Fagales, Juglandaceae. The record is from RefSeq and is a predicted model, not a curated record. The transcript has 2 exons.